Long non-coding RNA from Branchiostoma floridae (Florida lancelet), 1713 nucleotides. RefSeq lists it as uncharacterized. The record is from RefSeq and is a predicted model, not a curated record. NCBI's taxonomy places the organism in Eukaryota, Metazoa, Chordata, Leptocardii, Amphioxiformes, Branchiostomatidae. The transcript has 2 exons.
GUCAGGGCUUGGCUGUAGUAACUUACUGUACCCUUACUGUCAAGGCCUGGCUGUAGGAACUGUUAACUGUUUCCUUACUGUCAGGUCGUAGCUGUAGUAAGUGUAACUGUACCCUUACUGUCAGGACAUAGCUGUAGUAACUGUAACUGUACCCUUACUGUCAGGACAUAGCUGUAGUAACUGUUACUGUAUGCUUACUGUCAGGACAUAGCUGUAGUAACUGUUACUGUACCCUUACUGUCAAGGCCUGGCUGUAGUAACUGAUACUGUUUCCUUACUGUCAGGGCCUAGCUGUAGUAACUGUUACUGUACCCUUACUGUUAGGGCCUGGCUGUAGUAACUGUUACUGUAUGCUUACUGCCAGGUCCUGGCUGUGCAGGAGUUUUUGCCCACCUUGAGGCUGUUGUGCGGGCCGGCGGGUUUGUCGUGACGUUCCAGGGAACAGUGUACCGGGCCUCCGCAAUCAGGAUGGUGGAUGGCAAGCCUGUGCAGAGACCCCCUGCGGCCGUUGCCGUGGUGAUGGGCGUGGUCGGCGGAUUGUUGCUGUUGGUUCUGGCAGUCGUCCUGAUCUUCUUCUGCAAGGCCAAGACUCCCCGCACGGUCGCCCCGGAAACGGCUAGCAGGGCCAGCAGUAUCACGUUACAACGCUUCUAGCACUGGAGACAUGUAGCAGGGCCAGCAGUAUCACGUUACAACGCUUGUAGCACUGGAGACAUCUAGCAGAGCCUGCAGUAUUGCAUUACAACACUUCCAGCACUGGAGACACCUAACAGAGCCUGCAGUAUCACGUGACAACGUUUCUAGGGCCUGCAGUAUCACGUUACAAUAUUUCCAGCACUGGAGAUACCUAGCCGGGCCAGCAUUAUCAUGUUACAAUGCUUCUAGCACAAGAGACACCUAGCAGGGCCAGCAGUAUCACAUUACAACGCUUCUAGCACUGGAGACACCUAGUAGGGCCUGCAGUAUCACGUUACAAUACUUCAAGCACUGGGGAUGCCUAGCAGGGUCAGCAGUAUCACAUUACAACACUUCCAGCACUUGAGAUGCCUAGCAUGCAAAUGCAGGCUUAAGGAACCUGUAAGUCCUCAGCAGAGAAUUCUCAGGAAAAGGGUGAUGUUUUACCCUGUGAGUGUGAGGAAGGACCAUGACACAGGAAUUCUCUGUUAUGAAUUCUGAUGCAGUAAAUGUUUGUAAUUUGUGUGUAGUUUCUAGCCAUGUAAAUGUAUGCAAUAUGUGUGUAGGUUCUAGCCAUAUUAUAAUUAUUAUUCAGUAAUAUUUAAAUUGAAUCUGCAGUCCACUGUUUUGCAAUUAAGUAGUGUCAAUUCUAUAUAUCUAUAUACAGAUAUAAAGUUAUGAUAAGUAUGUGUGCUAAGAUGGGGCAUGGUGACCCUUAGAUACGUGCUAUAGAGUUUUAGAACCUCUUUACUAAACUAAGUUACUGGCAGGCAUCAGUGCAGUAGUUUUUCUUUAAAUUGAUCACUGAUAUGUUGACAUCUACAUGUACCUUUUAUAUGAUGAACAAUAUACAGUUUAAGGUAUAUAAUUACAAACAUAUAUAUAUUUAUGUAUUGGAAGGAUCUUUUGAAGAAAUCUAUAUUUUCAUGUUUAUACAUGUAUGAGCAAUGAGAUUACUUAAUACUAAUAUGUGAUAUUUUAUGUACACAAGUGUUAUGAGAUCAUGACAGAAAUGAGUCAAUACAAUAUGUUUCAGUA